GGGCCCGUAGCUCAGCUGGGAGAGCGCCGCGUUCGCAACGCGGAAGUCGAGGGUUCGAAUCCCUUCGGGUCCACCA
RNAcentral lists this transfer RNA (76 nucleotides) under Syntrophomonadaceae bacterium. RNAcentral's name for it is "tRNA-Ala". It matches the Rfam family "tRNA". From Rfam's summary of the family: Transfer RNA (tRNA) molecules are approximately 80 nucleotides in length. Lineage: Bacteria; Bacillati; Bacillota; Clostridia; Eubacteriales; Syntrophomonadaceae. The record is from RNAcentral.